UACAACAUCACCAUCAGCUCUAAUAGCAGCGGCUGGUACUACCGUGUAGCUCAGAAUGAACAUGGGAUGCUGAAAUCAGCUUCAAUAGAUGUCACUUUAAAGGCAGGUCACUUCUACAUUUUGCCUGUAACUGUUGGAGUCAGCCUCUGUGGGAUUGUACUUCCUCUCUCAAUAGUUUUAUUUGUGAAGAGAAAAAGUUUAAGAAGAGGCAAGAGGCAAAAGAGAAAUACAGAUGAAUCUGAUUAUGGGGUGAGCUAUCACAGAAAUCCAGAUAUAUUUGUCAAUAAGGAGUCUUAACCCUGCUAAAGAGUUCAUAGAAUUCAUGUCAUGACAAAUCAGAGCCUUGUAAUGACAGUGUGAGUCUUAGUUCUGUAUC
Molecule: long non-coding RNA, 376 nt
Organism: Electrophorus electricus (electric eel)
Lineage: Eukaryota; Metazoa; Chordata; Actinopteri; Gymnotiformes; Gymnotidae
Source: RefSeq, a predicted model, not a curated record